This 202-nucleotide unclassified non-coding RNA is filed under the name uncultured fungus. RNAcentral's name for it is "sequence contains ITS1". Lineage: Eukaryota; Fungi. The record is from RNAcentral.
UUAACUGUUUAGAAGCUUGUACUCAGAGUGCCGCUGUAAAAAUAAGAGCUUGGUGGUCUUCUGGCGAGCGCCCGCGAGGUUGGCGGGGCGACCGGGGCCCCAGAGGGGCCGGCCCGCCGAAGCAACAGGAGGUUUGGUUCACAGGGGUUGAGGGAGUCUAGGACUCUCUGUAAUGAUCCCUCCGCUGGUUCACCAACGGAGA